This 230-nucleotide long non-coding RNA is filed under the name Setaria italica (foxtail millet). RNAcentral's name for it is "long non-coding RNA (SITA_LNC000826)". The record is from RNAcentral. Lineage: Eukaryota; Viridiplantae; Streptophyta; Magnoliopsida; Poales; Poaceae.
GGCACUGGUGACUCGUGGGCGCUAGGCUUGGGACGGGCCCGUGCUCUGGUGCUUUGGGGAGAGAAGAAGGUAGGGAGGAUGGAGACCACAGGGAGUAGGUGUGGCUGUUUGUUCAUGCGAGAAUAGGAAUAUCUCCUCAGGGGUAAAAGAGUCUUUGUUCAAUAAUAUUGAUGGACUUUAGUCCAUUUUAAUCCAUGGAAUCAAAUAACCAAGAUCAUUUACAAGUUUCC